GAGUGAUAAGAUCCGUAGUCAAGAGGGAAACAGCCCAGACCACCAGCUAAGGUCCCCAAAUAUCCGUUAAGUGGAAAAGGAUGUGGCGUUGCUUAGACAACCAGGAUGUUGGCUUAGAAGCAGCCAUCAUUUAAAGAGUGCGUAAUAGCUCACUGGUCGAGUGACACUGCGCCGAAAAUGUACCGGGGCUAAACGGAUUACCGAAGCUGUGGAUGGACAUCGUAGAUGUCCGUGGUAGGAGAGCGUUCUAAGGGCGUUGAAGUCAGACCGGAAGGACUGGUGGAGCGCUUAGAAGUGAGAAUGCCGGUAUGAGUAACGAAAGACGGGUGAGAAUCCCGUCCACCGAAUGCCUAAGGUUUCCUGAGGAAGGCUCGUCCGCUCAGGGUUAGUCGGGACCUAAGUCGAGGCCGAUAGGCGUAGACGAUGGACAACAGGUUGAUAUUCCUGUACCACCUCCCCGCCGUUUGAGCAAUGGGGGGACGCAGAAGGAUAGGGUGAGCGUGCCGUUGGUUGUGCACGUCCAAGUUGUGAGAUGAGAAACGAGGCAAAUCCCGUUUCUAGAUACAUCAAGCAGUGAUGGCAAGAGGUUUACCUCAGAGUCCCUGAUUUCACACUGCCAAGAAAAGCCUCUAGCGAGGCGGGAGGUGCCCGUACCGCAAACCGACACAGGUAGGCGAGAAGAGAAUUCUAAGGUGAGCGAGUGAACUCUCGUUAAGGAACUCGGCAAAAUGACCCCGUAACUUCGGGAGAAGGGGUGCUCUGGUAGGGUGAAUAGCCCGAGAGAGCCGCAGUGAAUAGGCCCAGGCGACUGUUUAGCAAAAACACAGGUCUCUGCAAAACCGUAAGGUGACGUAUAGGGGCUGACGCCUGCCCGGUGCUGGAAGGUUAAGGGGAGUGCUUAGCGCAAGCGAAGGUGCGAACCGAAGCCCCAGUAAACGGCGGCCGUAACUAUAACGGUCCUAAGGUAGCGAAAUUC
This 976-nucleotide ribosomal RNA is filed under the name Streptococcus pneumoniae. RNAcentral describes it as "partial 23S ribosomal RNA". It matches the Rfam family "Bacterial large subunit ribosomal RNA", at positions 993 to 1967 of the family's 2925-position model. Lineage: Bacteria; Bacillati; Bacillota; Bacilli; Lactobacillales; Streptococcaceae. The record is from RNAcentral.